AAGUCGUAACAAGGUUUCCGUAGACCAAGUCUUUGGAUCAAGAUCCUUCUGCAGUAGUACACUUGCCGAAGCCUUGCAUAGCAGCCCGUAAGGGUAGGUCAACGACUUUUAAAACAAUACCUUAAAUGCCAGUCCACUUAAUGGGCAACACUAUCAAAUUGCGGGGACGCCCUAAAGGUUUCGGGUGCCAAACAAUGUCAUCGAUGGCGUUGUGGCUAGAGUAAGUCUCUUGGGUAAGGUAAUAACCCCCGAAGCAUUGAUCCUCGUUCGCGGGGUGAGAAUGGGUAAUCCGCAGCCAAUUCCUACCCCGUUUAGGAAGCUGUUCACAGGCCAAAUGUUAGUGGGUGGAGUUAUAAAUUCCGCUUAAGAUAUGGUCGGUCCUGUCGCGAAAGCAAUAGGGUAAGUACUUGCCAGUCCUUUUCCAACGUUCCGUAGGUGAACCUGCGGAAGGAUCAUUAAUGAGAUUGAGCCUAAAAAGUUCUACCUCCAACCCUUUGUUUACCUUACCACUGUUGCCUCGGCGGGUCGUCGACCUUUUCACUAAGGUUGCCGUCGGCGUUUUAACUAGCGCUCUCGUGUGCCCGCCGCUGGGCCCAUUUCUAAACUCUUUGUAAACCCAGUCUUCUGAGAGUAAAUUUAAUACUUCAAAA
Molecule: unclassified non-coding RNA, 650 nt
Filed under: plant metagenome
Description: partial contains small subunit ribosomal RNA and internal transcribed spacer 1
Rfam family: Group I catalytic intron (bases 100-398)
Source: RNAcentral